UACGUAGGGUGCGAGCGUUAAUCGGAAUUACUGGGCGUAAAGCGUGCGCAGGCGGUUUCACAAGCUCGAUGUGAAAGCCCCGGGCUUAACCUGGGAAUGGCAUUGAGGACUGUGGAGCUUGAGUGCGGCAGAGGGAGGUGGAAUUCCACGUGUAGCAGUGAAAUGCGUAGAGAUGUGGAGGAACACCGAUGGCGAAGGCAGCCUCCUGGGCCGACACUGACGCUCAUGCACGAAAGCGUGGGGAGCAAAC
Molecule: ribosomal RNA, 250 nt
Filed under: uncultured bacterium
Lineage: Bacteria
Description: partial 16S ribosomal RNA
Rfam family: Bacterial small subunit ribosomal RNA
Source: RNAcentral